Molecule: ribosomal RNA, 1647 nt
Filed under: Triticum aestivum (bread wheat)
Lineage: Eukaryota; Viridiplantae; Streptophyta; Magnoliopsida; Poales; Poaceae
Description: partial small subunit ribosomal RNA
Source: RNAcentral
AUGGCCGCUCUCUCCGUGCUCAACUGCCUCCUCAAGACCGUCCAAGCCGCACGGGCUGACGACGACGCGCACGUGUGGAUUCCGGCCUCCUCCUUCCCCGAUGAGCUCCGCGAUAUCGGCGUCGCUGCGCUGAUCCGGGACGACGCCAAGGCCACGGCGCUCGCGUCCGCCGACUUUGGCAACGUGUCGUUCGCGCCGCCCGCGGCGGCUGUGCUCUAUCCCUCGUGCCCUGCUGAUAUCGCCGCUCUGCUGCGCGCCUCGUGCGCACGUCCGUCACCGUUCCCGGUGUCCGCCCGGGGAUGCGGCCACUCCGUCCGUGGCCAGGCGGGCGCGCCCGGCGGCGUCGUCGUUGACAUGCCGUCGCUCGGGCAGCUCGGUGGAGGCUCCACUUCGGCCCGCCUCUCUGUUUCGGUCGAAGGCCAAUACAUAGACGCCGGCGGCGAGCAGCUGUAGGUGGACGUGCUGCGCUCCGCGCUUGCGCACGGUCUAACGCCGCGUUCGUGGACCGACUACCUCCACCUCACCGUCGGCGGCACGCUCUCCAACGCCGGCAUCAGCGGCCAGGCCUUUCGCCACGGACCCCAGAUAUCCAACGUCCAAGAACUCGACGUCAUCACCGGAUCUGGGGAGAUGGUGACGUGUUCGAAGGAAAAGGAAGCCGACCUGUUCGACGCCGUGCUGGGCGGGCUGGGGCAGUUCGGUGUCAUAACGCGGGCGCGCAUACCGCUCGUGCCAGCGCCGACGAGGGCGCGCUGGGUGCGGCUCCUGUACACGGGCGCCGCCGCACUCACCGGCGACCAGGAGCGGCUCAUAGACGUCGAGCGUGGCGGCGCGGUGUCCGGGCUCAUGGACUACGUCGAGGGCACGGUCCUUGCGGACAAGGGCCUAAUCGGGAGCUGGCGCUCUCCGUCGCCUUCGUCAUCGUCUUCGUCCUUCUUCUCGGAGCCCGACGUUGCGGCGCGCGUCGCCAAGCUCGCGGAAGAGGCAGGCGGCGUCCUGUACUGCCUUGAGGGAGCGCUGUACUACGGCGGCGCAGCCGGCGGCGAGUCCGACGUCGAUAACAAGCUGGAUGUCUUGCUGCGGGAUCUGCGGUACGCGCGGGGCUUCGCGUCCGUGCAGGACGUGUCGUACGUGGGGUUCCUGGACCGUGUGCGCGACGGCGAGCUCAAGCUCCGCGCCGUCGGCCUGUGGGACGUGCCGCACCCCUGGCUCAACCUCUUCCUUCCGCGCUCCCGCGUCCUCGACUUCGCCGCCGGUGUUUUCCACGACAUCCUCCGCCGUGGCGCCACCGGUGCCAUGGGCCCCGUCCUCGUCUACCCCAUGAACCGCAACAGGUGGGACAGCGAGACGUCGGCGGUGUUCCCAGAGGAGGAGGAGGUGUUCUACACGGUUGGGAUCCUCCGGUCGGCCGUGUCGGAUGGCGAUCUUGGGCGCCUGGAGGAGCAGAACAAGGAGAUCUUACGAUUCUGCGAGGAGGCCGGGAUAUCGUGCGUGCAGUACCUGCCGUACUACGCCGACCAGACCGGUUGGGAGAAGAAGCACUUUGGUCCAGCCAAGUGGGCCAGAUUCAUGGAGCGGAAGAGGAAGUAUGAUCCCAAGGCGAUCCUCUCCCGUGGUCAGAGAAUUUUCACGGCCCCGCCGGCUUGA